CUAACUAAGCAUCUCACUUACACCGAGAAGACACCCAUGAAAGUUGGGUCACCCUGAGCCAAACAGCUAGCUUAACCACUUUCUUAACUUUUAACUAUAAAUAAAAUAAAAUAAACUUAUUUUAUAAACUAAAACAUUCUACCACCUUAGUAUGGGAGACAAAAAAGGUUCAUCACAAAGCAAUAGAUAUAGUACCGUAAGGGAAAGCUGAAAGAGAAAUGAAAUAAACCAUAUAAGCACUAAAAAGCAAAGACUAAACCUUGUACCUUUUGCAUCAUGAUUUAGCCAGUAUACUCAAGCAAAGAGAACUUUAGUUUGAAACCCCGAAACCAGGUGAGCUACCCCGAGACAGCCUAUUAGGGCCAACCCGUCUCUGUGGCAAAAGAGUGGGAAGAACUCCGGGUAGAAGUGACAGACCUACCGAACCUGGUGAUAGCUGGUUGCCUAAGAAAUGAAUAGAAGUUCAGCCUCAUAAACCUUUAGCCAAACAUUAAUAUAAUAAGACCAUAAAGUUACCUAUGAGAGUUAGUUAAAGGGGGUACAGCCCCUUUAACCAAGGACACAACCUUUAAAGGAGGAUAAAGAUCAUAAUAAUUAAAACACAUGUUCUAGUGGGCCUAAAAGCAGCCACCUAAACAGAAAGCGU
RNAcentral lists this ribosomal RNA (646 nucleotides) under Puntigrus partipentazona. RNAcentral's name for it is "partial 16S ribosomal RNA". The stretch from base 245 to 646 matches the Rfam family "Bacterial large subunit ribosomal RNA", at positions 568 to 1135 of the family's 2925-position model. Lineage: Eukaryota; Metazoa; Chordata; Actinopteri; Cypriniformes; Cyprinidae. The record is from RNAcentral.